Molecule: long non-coding RNA, 329 nt
Organism: Drosophila guanche
Lineage: Eukaryota; Metazoa; Arthropoda; Insecta; Diptera; Drosophilidae
Exons: 4
Source: RefSeq, a predicted model, not a curated record
UGUUGUAUUUUCCGUUUGGGAGACUUUUUCCCGUCUCUCGUUCAUUGAGUGAUUGAAUAUGUGAUUUGGGAUUGAUUUUAGGAAUGCCCGCAAGCUAUGCUGUGCCCUCGGAUCAGGUGACAACCCUACGCAGCUGUCAGUCGCCAGAACUUUUACAUUUUGUUAUUAUAUGUAGUUAUUAUAUUUAUUUGAAACGAACGCAACCGAAGUAAACACAUUUUUAACACACAUUUACUGUAACACAGGCACUUUUAGUUAAUAAACAAGACAACAAAAUAAACGAAGCGCGAUACCGACUCCGCUGCCAUUGAAAACGAGUGUCAAUUUCU